UGCAAGUCGAGCGAAUCAAAGGGAGCUUGCUCCCUGAGAUUAGCGGCGGACGGGUGAGUAACACGUGGGCAACCUGCCUAUAAGACUGGGAUAACUUCGGGAAACCGGAGCUAAUACCGGAUAAUUCUUUUCUACACAUGUAGGAAAGCUGAAAGACGGUUUACGCUGUCACUUAUAGAUGGGCCCGCGGCGCAUUAGCUAGUUGGUGAGGUAACGGCUCACCAAGGCGACGAUGCGUAGCCGACCUGAGAGGGUGAUCGGCCACACUGGGACUGAGACACGGCCCAGACUCCUACGGGAGGCAGCAGUAGGGAAUCUUCCGCAAUGGACGAAAGUCUGACGGAGCAACGCCGCGUGAGUGAUGAAGGUGUUCGGAUCGUAAAACUCUGUUGUUAGGGAAGAACAAGUACCAGAGUAACUGCUGGUACCUUGACGGUACCUAACCAGAAAGCCACGGCUAACUACGUGCCAGCAGCCGCGGUAAUACGUAGGUGGCAAGCGUUGUCCGGAAUUAUUGGGCGUAAAGCGCGCGCAGGCGGUCCUUUAAGUCUGAUGUGAAAGCCCACGGCUCAACCGUGGAGGGUCAUUGGAAACUGGGGGACUUGAGUACAGAAGAGAAGAGUGGAAUUCCACGUGUAGCGGUGAAAUGCGUAGAGAUGUGGAGGAACACCAGUGGCGAA
RNAcentral lists this ribosomal RNA (680 nucleotides) under uncultured bacterium. RNAcentral's name for it is "bacterial SSU rRNA". It matches the Rfam family "Bacterial small subunit ribosomal RNA", at positions 56 to 719 of the family's 1533-position model. The record is from RNAcentral.